Molecule: ribosomal RNA, 508 nt
Filed under: uncultured bacterium
Lineage: Bacteria
Description: bacterial SSU rRNA
Rfam family: Bacterial small subunit ribosomal RNA
Source: RNAcentral
CUCAGAACGAACGCUGGCGGCGCGUUUAAGCAUGCAAGUCGAAUGGAAGUUAUUCUUCGGGAUAAUGGACAUGGCGGACUGGUGAGUAACACGUAGAUAAUCUACCCUUGAGUUGGGGAUACCCCAUGGAAACAUGGGAUAAUACCGAAUGAAGUCUAACUAUCACAAGAUGGAAUGAUGAAAGAGGCGAUUGCCUCGCUUAAGGAUGAGUCUGCGGCUCAUUAGCUAGUUGGUGGGGUAACGGCCUACCAAGGCGAUGAUGAGUAGCCGGCCUGAGAGGGUGAACGGCCACAUUGGGACUGAGAUACGGCCCAAACUCCUACGGGAGGCAGCAGCUAAGAAUCUUCCGCAAUGGACGAAAGUCUGACGGAGCGACGCCGCGUGCACGAAAAGAAGGCAGAGAUGUUGUAAAGUGCUUUUAUUGGGGAAGAAUAAGGGUAGCAGGAAAUGGCUACCUGAUGACAAUAACCAGUGAAUAAGCCCCGGCUAAUUCCGUGCCAGCCGCCGC